RNAcentral lists this transfer RNA (72 nucleotides) under Neotoma lepida (desert woodrat). It matches the Rfam family "tRNA". From Rfam's summary of the family: Transfer RNA (tRNA) molecules are approximately 80 nucleotides in length. Their secondary structure includes four short double-helical elements and three loops (D, anti-codon, and T loops). The record is from Rfam by way of RNAcentral. Lineage: Eukaryota; Metazoa; Chordata; Mammalia; Rodentia; Cricetidae.
UGGGAUGUAGCUCAGAGGUACAGCACUUGCCUAGCAUGCAUGAGUCCCUGGGUUCAAUGCCCAGCACUGCUA